UUCUGCCCCUAGCGCGCCCCAGCCGCCCCCUAAGCAGGGGGCGAAGGAAAGGGCGCGCGGGGCCCUGGGGACUAACGGAUGCUCCCCUUAGAUAGCUUCCAGCCCCCUGAGCCCUCUCCCUCAAGGGAAGGGCACACUCACGGACCCUCCGGAGCCUCCAAAACAGAACUCACUGGAACUGCAUCUUUCUUCUCUGCCCCCCUCGCCCUCUCCCUCCUGCAGGCCUGGAACAGUGCCUGAUCAGAGGAGUGUUCAAUCUUACAGAACAGGUGUAUGAAGAAUCUGGGGCUCCUGUGGUGGCUCAGACAGUAGAGAAUCUGCCUGCAAUGCAAGAGAUUCAGCAAAUCACAGUUAACAAUCUCGGAAGCGUCAGUAGAAGAGCACUUUCAGGAAACCACAGCUAAUCAUCCAGCCCUCCUUGCAAAGAAGCAGACCCAGUAAUCUUUAACUCUCCAGAGUUUAUUUCAAAGCAAACAGCUUGGGACUUUCCUGGUGGUUCAGUGGAUUAGAAUCUGCCUGCCAAUGCAGGGGACACAGG
Odocoileus virginianus texanus is the source of this 538-nucleotide non-coding RNA. The record is from RefSeq and is a predicted model, not a curated record. NCBI's taxonomy places the organism in Eukaryota, Metazoa, Chordata, Mammalia, Artiodactyla, Cervidae.